This 73-nucleotide transfer RNA is filed under the name Ictidomys tridecemlineatus (thirteen-lined ground squirrel). RNAcentral's name for it is "Spermophilus tridecemlineatus (thirteen-lined ground squirrel) tRNA". It matches the Rfam family "tRNA". Rfam says of the family: Transfer RNA (tRNA) molecules are approximately 80 nucleotides in length. The record is from Rfam by way of RNAcentral. RNAcentral also lists the same sequence under 1 other name. Lineage: Eukaryota; Metazoa; Chordata; Mammalia; Rodentia; Sciuridae.
GGAGAUAUGGCUCAGUUGAUAGAGUGCUUGCCUUGCAUGCACAAGGUCCUGGGUUCAAUCCCCAGCACCACCA